GGCGCUGUGGUCUAGUCGUAUGAUUCUCGCUUCGGGUACAGUCACUUGCGAGAGGUCCGGGGUUCAAUUCCCCGCAGCGCCC
Molecule: non-coding RNA, 82 nt
Organism: Fomitiporia mediterranea MF3/22
Lineage: Eukaryota; Fungi; Basidiomycota; Agaricomycetes; Hymenochaetales; Hymenochaetaceae
Source: the annotation of a RefSeq genome assembly